Molecule: ribosomal RNA, 254 nt
Filed under: uncultured bacterium
Lineage: Bacteria
Description: partial 16S ribosomal RNA
Rfam family: Bacterial small subunit ribosomal RNA
Source: RNAcentral
UACGGGGGGGGUAAGCGUUGUUCGGAAUUACUGGGCGUAAAGGGCGCGUAGGCGGCCACCGCAAGUCAAUUGUGAAAUCUCCGGGCUUAACUCGGAAAGGUCAACUGAUACUGCGGGGCUAGAGUGCGGAAGGGGCAACUGGAAUCCUCGGUGUAGCGGUGAAAUGCGUAGAUAUCGAGAGGAACACCUGCGGCGAAGGCGGGUUGCUGGGCCGACACUGACGCUGAUGCGCGAAAGCCAGGGGAGCGAACGGG